Molecule: long non-coding RNA, 1912 nt
Organism: Gasterosteus aculeatus aculeatus (three-spined stickleback)
Lineage: Eukaryota; Metazoa; Chordata; Actinopteri; Perciformes; Gasterosteidae
Source: Ensembl
CACCGGGUGGAUGAAAACACAUGGAGUCAUGAAAACAAACCAGCUCGGCUGGAUUCCUUGAUUGUAUUAAUCUGGAUGUGAUGGUGGCUGAAUACUCGGCUGGGACCGCUGUGGGUUUCAUCAGCUGUCCGCAGCGCUGCCUCGCCGCAGGUUACCGGAAGCCACCUGACUGGAGUCCUGACAAAGAGUGAUGGCCUCGGCUCGGAAAUAUCCAGCGUUCCACUGGACUGGAGUUGCAUCCCUUAAGAAAAUGAUCAAGAUGGCGACGGACAAAAUGACAAGCUCGAGGCUUCAAGGCGGAAACCUAGAAACCAACGGGUGUCGCCAGGGCCUCUCCCUUCCCUUUCGCAGCACUGACUGAUAAAAUCAAGGAAUCCAGCCGAGCCGGUUUGUUUUCGUGACUCAAGAAAUACAACUUCAGGUCAACUGUGCCACAACUGGACUGGCAACCAGGAAUGUAGUGACUACUUCCCUUCUGAAGCACUAUACUACAUUUUUAAUGCAGUAUAUAUAUAAAAAAAGACUGCAAACUUUCAAGAAACAGCCAUGAGUCUCAUGAGCUUCGAUCCCGCGCUGUACAUUCAUCGUCUUACCAUGAAGAAUUCAGCGUUUAGCUCGUGCGCUGUGGAUGGAGACGCAGGUUCGAUGACACAGCGCCGUCACCCGACAACACCGUCAGUGGGACAAAAGAGGGGAGAUGGAAGAAUCAAGUUGCAUCACGAUGUAAAGUGGAAGCUACGCCCCCCCCGGGGCCCACAGGUCACCGAUACACAUGUUGAAAGACGGUGCACGAAGGUGGGACCAGCGUUUUAUUGUGGCAUAGGAUGCACAUUACAUGACAAGGAGAGCAGCUGGAGGGUUUGGUCACAGUCGUUGCACUGGGGAUGAUUUUGUUUGUUCAGGAGAAGCACAAGUUCUGGUCCUUCCUGUGUCCUGACGCGCAUGCACAUGUUGUUGCGUUAAACCAGGAGCAGGUUUCCCGGUCAGAGAGGAUCCGAUGACGGCCGGCCGGGAACCAGAUCCAGCCGGGCGUUUAUCCGGGUGUUUAUCCGGCAGCUCGGCGGCCAAAUGAGACGCGUGGCCGUUUCCAUGGAUGUGUUGUUUACAGAGGGAGGGUGUGAAAGGCUCUUACCACAUCACUAAUACAAGAGGACUCUUAUAUAUUAGACAAGGUUUAAGGACCAACAACUGGAACUUAACUGGCCAAUGAUUUUACAGAUGUUCCCAAAAUGAGUGACACGUUAGGUGUCCAAAGCCUGUACUGUUUAUUAAAUGUUACCUCAAUUUACCUUUUUUAAAUUGUAAGAAUUCCAAAAUAAUCAAAAUUGAGAAUAUGUUUUAUGAAGAACUCUCACCACCUGGAGCAACACGUCACCGUGGUCACAAGUCAGAUAGUGUGAUGCACAGUUGUCUAAUAUGAUUUUUGACCUGCUGAUCUUUAACAUUGCCAAGUUUUAAUCCGGAACCAGGAAUCCGGAACAUUUAUUGCCAAAAUAUGUUAGACAUAAGGAAUUUGACAUGGCGGUUGUGCAUAACAUCGGACAGUAAGGCAAUAACAUCAAGACUAGAUUAGUGGUUUAAACAACCCUCUAUUUAAUACCGAUACCCCCCCCCUUGAACUCCACUCAAAACCACCUCGGAGCCAGAACCCUGCAGGCCUUUUUGGAAGGAGAACCAGGACUGAGUGAAAAAGACUGAGCGAUUUUUUUUUAAGUCUGGAAACUUCAGGUGAAAAUUCCUCAUAGUGUAAAAGUCUUACCCAGGACAGUUCUUCCCUCUUGGAAGGUUUUUUUUUUCGUUUUUCCUGUGCCGAUGGUGGGUUUCGGGACAGAGGAUGUCGUAUGUGUACAGACUGUAAAGCCCUCUGAGGCAAAUUUGUAAUUUGCGAUUUUGGGCAAUAAAAUACAAAAUA